AAACCAAGGUGAGGACAUCUUCUCAAUAGGUCCUUUUCUCUCUCCCAUUCAUCAUAAAGAGUUUCUAGAUUCAUCUGCACAAAAGAAGAAAUAUCAUUCCUCAAUUU
RNAcentral lists this small nucleolar RNA (107 nucleotides) under Gossypium hirsutum (cotton). RNAcentral describes it as "Plant small nucleolar RNA R71". It matches the Rfam family "Plant small nucleolar RNA R71". From Rfam's summary of the family: R71 is a member of the C/D box family of snoRNAs containing the C (UGAUGA) and D (CUGA) box motifs. Multiple nearly identical copies of this snoRNA have been identified in Arabidopsis, and it is thought to function as a 2'-O-ribose methylation guide for 18S ribosomal RNA. Lineage: Eukaryota; Viridiplantae; Streptophyta; Magnoliopsida; Malvales; Malvaceae. The record is from Rfam by way of RNAcentral.